UACUGAAUCACUUAGAUAGUAUCUCAGCUGGAAUGGAAGUGGACAUUACUUUAUUGUUAAUCCAUUAAUAAAUAGGUGCUAGACGUAGUAAUGACUGUGAUGUGAGAUAAUUUCAUGUUCUGGACACCACAUUGAUAAGACUACUUGAAUGUCUUCUCAAAUUAUGGAUCAUCUGAUGUACCUCAAAAAGGAGAUUAAUCCUUUUUGUAAUUGAAGAAAUUUUCUUCUCCAGUAUGCUUUAUUAUGUAUUUUGUCUUACCUCUGGAUUUAAUAUGUGCUUGGGUUAGCAGGGACCUUAAAGAUUAACCAGUCCAACCCCUCUGUUAUGGUCAGGGACAUCUAGAGACUAGAUCAGGUUGCCCUAGGCCCUGUCCAAUAUGACCUUGAACACCUCCAGGGAGGGGACAUCCACAGCUUCUCUGGACAACAUGUUCUGGUGCCUCACCACUAUCUGAGUAAAGAAUUUCUUCCUUAUAUCUAAUUUAAAUCUACCCACUUUCAGUUUAAAGCUAUUAUCCCUUCUCCUAUCACUGCAUGCCCCUGUAGAAAGUCUCUCACCAUCUUUCUUAAAAGUAUUGAAAGGCUGCCAUGCAGUCUCACAAGAGCCUUCUCUUCUAAUCUAGGGCUAAACAACCCCAUCUCUCUCAGCCUUUUUUUUUAUAGGUGAGGUGCUCCAGCCUUCUAUCAGUUUUAUAGCUUUCCUCUGCACCUGCUUUAACAGGUCCUCCUAACCACCUCUAAAUUUAAGUCAUAUUUGUUUAACUGUGUUUUAACUUAAACAUAAAUUCACAGAAGCAUGUAUCUUAACAAACGCAACAGGACUCUAUAAAUGAAAAGAUUCACAGAAGACUCUUUUCUUCAUGGAAAAGAUCAAUAGACUUAGUUGAAGAGAAUUAAAAAGUACUUGUUUAGACAAAGAAGUAUGCCUACCUAUCCUGACCAACAUGGAUGAAUGUGAAAAUAGAAAGUGACCUCAUCAUCAGGGUCCCUGAAUGCUGUUUAAUGCUAAAACAACAACUUUACUACCCAACAGUAAAACCCAAAGGAAGAUAUAUGGAGAAGCAAGUGCCAAGGAUACCUGAAACUCCCAGGUGACAGUGCACAAUUCAUUAUCUCUAGAGUCCUCUGUUCUUUCUGUUCGAGCUGUCCCCAGCUGAUCCUGGGACUGGAAAUACAUAAAAUAACUAAUAUGGCAAGAGAAAGGAAAAAAGAAAAUUCCUGCAAAUAAAAGUCUUAGGUACGUAAAUGUUAACAAUGCUGAAUUUCAAUAUAGUGUCCAUAAAGAUUUAUGGCUUGUCAAAAAAAAUCAAUGUCAAAUGACACCCAAAGUAAAAGAAAAUCUAUGUGAGCUUAUACAAGAAAAUUGUAGUAGAUAGAAAACUGAUGAAGUGAUAUUUAGACAUAGGUUAAAAGAAAAGUUGUCCAGAUCAAAAAAAUCCCAUUAUCCUUUGAGGAUGAUAUACAAAAUCUACUUGUUAUGCAUGGUGUUGACAUUCUAUCUUUUGAUGCACAGCUUAGGGUAUGUCUGCAUAGGGUAUGUCUAGUUACUUGCAAUGUCAUGGCAUUUAGAAUCUUUGUACAUGUUUUAUUUCAUUUAAAUGUAACAAUGUAAAAUUCAUUCAAGUUAAAAUAUUCUAAAAUGACUCUCUCUAUAAAAAUCUGUAUUGAAAAAAAAAAUAAAUCCUGUCAGUAUUACCACAGUAUCCCCCAAAAGAAAAUAAACUUGAUAACUAAAAAUAGCGAUAAUAAAGACACCUCUGGAUUCAUAAGUCUUUGCAAAAGAAUCAUAGAAUAAUAGAAUAUCCUGAGUUGGAAGGGACACACACAAGGAUCCUCGAGUCCAACUCCUAGAUCUGCACAGGACCAUGCAAAAAUCAAACCAUAUGAGGGUAUUGUUCAAAUACUUCUUGAACUCCAGCAGGCUUGAUUCCGUGACUGUUUCAAUGGGGAGCAUGUUCCAGUGCCCAGCUACCCUCUCAGUGAAGAACCUUUUCCUGGUAUCCAACCUGAAAGUCCCAUAUCACAGCUUCACGUCAUAGAAUCACAGAAUCCUCUCCUAUGAGGAAAGUCUGAGAGAGCUGGGGCUGUUCAGCCUACAGAAGAGAAGGCUCUGGGGUGAUCUUAUUGCAGGUUUUCACCGCUUAAAAGGGGCUUAAAAAAAAAGAUGGAAAGAAACUUUUUUUCUCAGCCAGAUAGUGACAGGACAAGGGGGAAUGCAUUUAAACUAAAAGAGUGGAGAUUUAGGUUAGAGGUUAGGAGGAAAUUUUUCACUCAGAGGCACAGAAACAGGCUACCCAGAGAAGCUGUGGAUGUCCCAUCCCUGGAGGUGUUCAAGGCCAGGCUGGACGGGGCCCAGAGCAACCUGGUCUAGUGGGUGGCGCCCCUGCUCAUGGCAGGGGAGUUGGAACUAGGUGAUCUCUAAUGUGCUUUUGUAAACCAAGCCAUUCAAUGAUUCAGUGAUCAUAAAAGAUACUACCACCACAAAUAUACAUACUGUAUGUCCACUCUGUAAACAAUCCUUAAUGUAAUGGAUUUAAUUUGUCCCUCUGAUGAUAAUUAGGAUAUGUUAAUUGAACUGUAUCGAUAAACUAUAAAUUCAAUACUUCAAAUGAAUCUCAGGAAAUGUGACUAAACUAUUGUGUGAUUAUGCUUUGUUCUGCACACUGGUUUAUGAUAAACCACCUCUAAUCCUAAAAAUAAACAUAACAAGGGCACAAGUCUUAAUCAGAAACAUAAAAGUCCAAAAAUGUGCAUCCAUUUAACUUAGACAGAAUCUUCUUCGAUGUCUUUUCAUUGCAUGGAUAGGUUAAAAGUUUGGUCUUGAUA
Molecule: long non-coding RNA, 2826 nt
Organism: Cygnus atratus (black swan)
Lineage: Eukaryota; Metazoa; Chordata; Aves; Anseriformes; Anatidae
Exons: 3
Source: RefSeq, a predicted model, not a curated record